Long non-coding RNA from Halichondria panicea, 465 nucleotides. RefSeq lists it as uncharacterized. The transcript is spliced from 2 exons. Lineage: Eukaryota; Metazoa; Porifera; Demospongiae; Suberitida; Halichondriidae. The record is from RefSeq and is a predicted model, not a curated record.
GCAGUUUAGCUAGUUGCCAAGGAUUUGUUGUUAUAAAAGUCAUAAAGGUAAAAAGCAGUCAAUGUUUAUGAUUGGCGAUGCUUACGCCUAGCUGGAGGACCUUGCUCACUGGAGGAACUUGCUCACUUUUGUGAGGGAUGACCAGUGUGGCAUUCUUCUGUUGGUAGUGAAACAAAAUAGAGGGUACACGUUGUUACACACUGUCAGUUUCCAUCAAACAUUUUCUUGUCGCGAAUCGUACACUUUAGUUACCGCUCAACUUUGUAUAUACUCGAAGUUGUAUUUCUUGAUGUAAUGUGUGCAUAGCAUGUAUGCGUAUGCGUAUACCCUAUUUCCUACUACCAUUGACUAAUAUUCGUGUUUAAUUUUUCUUUUUGUAGUAGCUAUUAUGACCUUGUAGUAUUAUGACCAAACUGACAAUUCAACUGCCAAGUUUCAGCAAUGCAUAACAGUGUUAUUCCGUUC